GCUAGGGCAGCGAUAAUGAAUGG
RNAcentral lists this non-coding RNA (23 nucleotides) under Cricetulus griseus (Chinese hamster). Lineage: Eukaryota; Metazoa; Chordata; Mammalia; Rodentia; Cricetidae. The record is from RNAcentral.